Long non-coding RNA from Gasterosteus aculeatus (three-spined stickleback), 1930 nucleotides. NCBI's taxonomy places the organism in Eukaryota, Metazoa, Chordata, Actinopteri, Perciformes, Gasterosteidae. The record is from Ensembl.
GCAUUGGAUUUGUGGAUUUUUUUUCGCCCAAACCUGAACCUGAGUCAUAUAUGACAUAUAAUCACCAUGGCAACGCAACGUUAGAAGCCCCCCCGCGCGUUACCCCCCGAGUAAAUACACGGCGGCCGCUUAGACCUCGUCUGAUAUCAUAUUGGGUGAAAGUGGACUGUUGACGUGAUGCUGUGGACCAUCACAUUCAAUGUGAGACAAAAAAAAGCGCGAUUAGCUGAUUUUACUAAACCACUCAAAACAAUUACCCCUAACGCAAGUAAUCGAGUUGUAAGUUCCCAUAAAAUCCCUUUUGUAGUAUUUUAAAUGAAAACUCGACGUCCGGGACCUCGACGUCACAGACCCAGCUGGUAUAAAAGCCUCAGUCCGACGCAGCAUCCUCAUUAAAGAGAAGCAGCGUCUGUGAGCAGCCUCCUCUUCCUCCUCCUCUGGCCAAAUUACUGCAAACAAAAAGAGAAUGUCCAAAAUGACGAUCUUUCAGCUCGGAGUGAUUUUGUUCACCAUAUGUUUAUCAACGCAGGUGGUUUCCCAGACCACCCUGGCAAUGGCGAACUCCACACGCAACCAAAACGCCACCACCAUGGCAACAAACACCCACAGCAGUGCGGCCAACACUACCGCCCCGGUUGGAAGGGGCGUCUCGCUGCUCGCAGGCACCGUCUCCUUCCUGAUCCCCGUCGUCACGGCAGCCUCUGUCCAUCAGCGCUAUUGUUAAAGGCUCGGACGCCACAGGGCCCCCCAACCCCCCCCUUACUCGGCAUCAACACUCCUCCUCAUCUUAUCAUCCCACCCACUCCAGCCUCACUCCUCUCCUCUUCACCGCACCGCACCGGGACCACAAGACCAACAUGGAUGGACUCUAAAAUCUUUUUUUUUUGCCCCCCCCUUCCAUAAAUUCAUUAUAAAAAAAUCUGUAAUUCAAGACGUUUCUUUUAAUAAAGGGGGUUUAACCGUCGACUGGAGAUCAUCACCAAACCCCUUCAGCCCCUUGCAUGGAAUCAGAAGGAAUGGCGGUUGGCCCAGCUUCCCUUUUGGCCUGCGUUUCCAUAGUUACGUCAUUGAAUUUUGAUCAGGGCUGCGGUUGUAAUAUCAAAUGUCCUGAUUGAAAUGCGGACCACUUGAGUGUACAGAGGUUUUAUUUGUGGCUUUAAUUAGACUCAAUAAUAUUUUUGUCUGUGAAGUUGACUUUGGCACACACAGUAGGAGUUUUCUUCAAGAAAGUUUGAGCCAGAUGACAAAUUUGAAUCAGGUUCUUUCAUAAUUUGCCUCUCUGGUCUUUUUUAUUAGAAUUGUCUAAGAAAUGUUUGUAGCAAAUAAGUUGCCACAAGACUUGUGUCAGUUUUGCCUUGUGACGUGUAAAGAGUUGCGGUCUUUUACAAUGAGGGUUUUAAUGACACCUUUCCCUCCUUCAACCAUGGGUUAGACCCAGGGAGUGGCUGUAUGUAUAUUAUAACCAUAUGGGAAGGGUUGGCGUUAGAUUUAUAUUCUACCCUUGUAGUUUAUAUUUUGUAAAAAUUAAAAAUGUUGUACUGGUUAAUAGUUUGGGUAUAAAAUAAUGGAAGAAAUUAAAAUGUACAAUAAAUUAUGAAAAAUGAAGACAAGUGUAAUAUUUUCUUUGAUUCACAAAAGCAGCACCUACACCAAUAUUUUAUCAACGCAACGGCGUCUUGUUCUCCAGUUCUGAAACUUUGCACGGAUCUCCCGCCCAUAAAACCAUGCUGAUGUUCUACAUAUAAAGGGUGUGGCGGUGUCACCAUUUAAUGGGCUGCCUUGGCAGUCUAGACGUGCAACCCGCUGAGCUGCAGGCCAGAGACGGACCCGGCGGUCCCUGAUGCCCCCACUGAUCUCCUCUGGAUUAGUGCCAGAGCGGCAUAAGGCAGAACUGUAGCCCCCGUGGUAUACUGGUGAUGUACAAAGUCCG